Molecule: ribosomal RNA, 651 nt
Filed under: Leucobacter sp.
Lineage: Bacteria; Bacillati; Actinomycetota; Actinomycetes; Micrococcales; Microbacteriaceae
Description: bacterial SSU rRNA
Rfam family: Bacterial small subunit ribosomal RNA
Source: RNAcentral
GGUGGAUGAGUGGCGAACGGGUGAGUAACACGUGAGUAACCUGCCCAUCACUCUGGGAUAAGCGCUGGAAACGGCGUCUAAUACUGGAUACGAGCAGCGACCGCAUGGUCAGCUGCUGGAAAGACUGGUUCGGUGAUGGAUGGACUCGCGGCCUAUCAGCUUGUUGGUGAGGUAAUGGCUCACCAAGGCGACGACGGGUAGCCGGCCUGAGAGGGUGACCGGCCACACUGGGACUGAGACACGGCCCAGACUCCUACGGGAGGCAGCAGUGGGGAAUAUUGCACAAUGGGCGCAAGCCUGAUGCAGCAACGCCGCGUGAGGGAUGACGGCCUUCGGGUUGUAAACCUCUUUUAGUAGGGAAGAAGCCUUCGGGUGACGGUACCUGCAGAAAAAGCACCGGCUAACUACGUGCCAGCAGCCGCGGUAAUACGUAGGGUGCAAGCGUUGUCCGGAAUUAUUGGGCGUAAAGAGCUCGUAGGCGGCUUGUCGCGUCUGCUGUGAAAACCCGAGGCUCAACCUCGGGCCUGCAGUGGGUACGGGCAAGCUAGAGUGCGGUAGGGGAGAUUGGAAUUCCUGGUGUAGCGGUGGAAUGCGCAGAUAUCAGGAGGAACACCGAUGGCGAAGGCAGAUCUCUGGGCCGUAACUGACGCU